UUUAAACGUAUUAUUCCUUGGAUUUCAUAUUCCAUUCGAACCGAUCUGACAUUUCCAAAUGGCUUGACUUAUUUGGACUUAUACAAAUAAAAAAAAAAAAAGAUACACUUAGAUUUAAACGAAUCAUUCCUUGGAUUUCGAAUAAAAUUCGAACCGAUCUGACAUUUCCAAAUGGCGUAACUGAUUUGGACUUAUACAAACACAUAAAUAAAAAAAAAUUAUUUCGUGUUCAAUAAAAAAAAAUGAUCAACAAAA
Non-coding RNA from Drosophila bipectinata, 255 nucleotides. The record is from RefSeq and is a predicted model, not a curated record. NCBI's taxonomy places the organism in Eukaryota, Metazoa, Arthropoda, Insecta, Diptera, Drosophilidae.